This 358-nucleotide long non-coding RNA is filed under the name Pan troglodytes (chimpanzee). RNAcentral's name for it is "long non-coding RNA NONPTRT018240". Lineage: Eukaryota; Metazoa; Chordata; Mammalia; Primates; Hominidae. The record is from RNAcentral.
UGUGUGGUGUGUAGCCCCGCUCCGGCUUGCACCCCCGCGAGCCACCUCGCAGCCCUCUCCGGCCUCGGCCUCACGGAUCCCCUCCCGGAGUAGCCCCGCGGGCCCCCCCGCCAUGCGUAAUGGGGCGCCCCUGGGACGCAGGCGGGGAUGGUGGUUCCGGUCGUUCCGGGAUUUGCGUGCAAGAAGAAAACAAGGCCGGCGACUACAAGAGCGGCGCCUCCAUUCUUGGGGUUCAGACGCCCGCGCAGCCUCCGCGUCGGUUCCGCUCUGCGCGCCUCCCUCGCUCCGGGCUCGGGGAGCCGCUCGCUCCUAGCGCCCAGAGUCAGCCGGUUCCACCUUCGGCUGCGAGAGCCGCCGC